Molecule: ribosomal RNA, 253 nt
Filed under: uncultured bacterium
Lineage: Bacteria
Description: partial 16S ribosomal RNA
Rfam family: Bacterial small subunit ribosomal RNA
Source: RNAcentral
UACGUAGGGGGCAAGCGUUAUCCGGAUUUACUGGGUGUAAAGGGGGCGCAGACGGCGAUGCAAGCCAGGAGUGAAAGCCCGGGGCCCAACCCCGGGACUGCUCUUGGAACUGCGUGGCUGGAGUGCAGGAGGGGCAGGCGGAAUUCCUGGUGUAGCGGUGGAAUGCGUAGAUAUCAGGAGGAACACCGGUGGCGAAGGCGGCCUGCUGGACUGCAACUGACGUUGAGGCCCGAAAGCGUGGGGAGCAAACAGG